Molecule: ribosomal RNA, 460 nt
Filed under: Enterococcus casseliflavus
Lineage: Bacteria; Bacillati; Bacillota; Bacilli; Lactobacillales; Enterococcaceae
Description: bacterial SSU rRNA
Rfam family: Bacterial small subunit ribosomal RNA
Source: RNAcentral
GACGAACGCUGGCGGCGUGCCUAAUACAUGCAAGUCGAACGCUUUUUCUUUCACCGGAGCUUGCUCCACCGAAAGAAAAAGAGUGGCGAACGGGUGAGUAACACGUGGGUAACCCGCCCAUCAGAAGGGGAUAACACUUGGAAACAGGUGCUAAUACCGUAUAACACUAUUUUCCGCAUGGAAGAAAGUUGAAAGGCGCUUUUGCGUCACUGAUGGAUGGACCCGCGGUGCAUUAGCUAGUUGGUGAGGUAACGGCUCACCAAGGCAACGAUGCAUAGCCGACCUGAGAGGGUGAUCGGCCACACUGGGACUGAGACACGGCCCAGACUCCUACGGGAGGCAGCAGUAGGGAAUCUUCGGCAAUGGACGAAAGUCUGACCGAGCAACGCCGCGUGAGUGAAGAAGGUUUUCGGAUCGUAAAACUCUGUUGUUAGAGAAGAACAAGGAUGAGAGUAAAACG